RNAcentral lists this ribosomal RNA (439 nucleotides) under uncultured bacterium. Its description in RNAcentral is "partial 16S ribosomal RNA". It matches the Rfam family "Bacterial small subunit ribosomal RNA", at positions 339 to 795 of the family's 1533-position model. The record is from RNAcentral.
CUACGGGUUGCACCAGUGGGGAAUAUUGCACAAUGGGGGAAACCCUGAUGCAGCAACGCCGCGUGGAGGAUGACGCAUUUCGGUGUGUAAACUCCUUUUAUAUAGGAAGAUAAUGACGGUACUAUAUGAAUAAGCACCGGCUAACUCCGUGCCAGCAGCCGCGGUAAUACGGAGGGUGCAAGCGUUACUCGGAAUCACUGGGCGUAAAGCGCGCGCAGGCGGCCUUUUAAGUUGGAUGUGAAAGCCUACGGCUCAACCGUAGAACUGCAUCCAAAACUACUAGGCUAGAGUCUGGGAGGGGAAGAUGGAAUUAGUUGUGUAGGGGUAAAAUCCGUAGAGAUAACUAGGAAUACCAAAAGCGAAGGCAAUCUUCUGGAACAGUACUGACGCUGAGGCGCGAAAGCGUGGGGAGCAAACAGGAUUAGAUACCCCUGUAGUC